CCUACGGGUGGCAGCAGUGAGGAAUAUUGGUCAAUGGACGGAAGUCUGAACCAGCCAUGCCGCGUGCAGGAAGACGGCUCUAUGAGUUGUAAACUGCUUUUGUACAAGGGUAAACCUUUACACGUGUAUUCAGCUGUAAGUACUAUACGAAUAAGGAUCGGCUAACUCCGUGCCAGCAGCCGCGGUAAUACGGAGGAUCCAAGCGUUAUCCGGAUUUAUUGGGUUUAAAGGGUGCGUAGGUGGAUUGAUAAGUUAGUUGUGAAAUUUUGGGGCUCAACCGGAAAACUGCAGUUGAAACUGUCAGUCUUGAGUAUAGAAGCGGUAGGCGGAAUGCGUGGUGUAGCGGUGAAAUGCUUAGAGAUCAUGCAGAACACCGAUUGCGAAGGCAGUUUAC
This 394-nucleotide ribosomal RNA is filed under the name uncultured bacterium. RNAcentral describes it as "partial 16S ribosomal RNA". It matches the Rfam family "Bacterial small subunit ribosomal RNA", at positions 338 to 729 of the family's 1533-position model. The record is from RNAcentral.